CAGAACAGUACUGUUGCGGGCAGAUGUAGUGGAUGUGCGUGUCGAUACCGCCGGCCGUCACGAUCAACCCCUCGCACGCUGAAGGAGAAGCGUGAGUUGACAACAUACACACGACACACACGACACACACACACAACGAUCGAGGAAGCUACCGAUCACAUCAGUUGUCACACCCACUACCAUCUGAACCCCUUCCAUCACUAAAUGUACAGCCACGCGCGACGCGACGCGACGCGACACCAACGAUAUGAUUUGUUGUUAGGGAUCCAUGCUGCCUUGGGGAGAGCGACACGACGAACCAUCAGGGUUUCCCGCCUUUCCGAUUCCAGCGAUGAGACCGUUCUUGAUGCCAAUGUCGGCCUUGUAGACGCCCGUGUAGUCCACGAUCAACUGCACCAGCGGCGACGCCCAUGGGGUGAGCGCAAGUGGUGAUGGGCUCGAGCCUUGGCGGGUGAUGG
RNAcentral lists this small RNA (458 nucleotides) under Acanthamoeba castellanii str. Neff. Its description in RNAcentral is "5' ureB small RNA". It matches the Rfam family "5' ureB small RNA". Lineage: Eukaryota; Discosea; Longamoebia; Acanthamoebidae. The record is from Rfam by way of RNAcentral.